AUGGCUGCACGCCAGCAGAGCUGUGCCCUGCCGCCCUUCGCAGAGGGACACGGGUGGGCUCAGGGCCUGGGACCGCAGCAGGCAUCACCGGGAGGUUUGUUUGUGUUGUGUAACCAGGGCUCAGCUCGCGUGUUGGGUAACGCCGCCGACAUUUCACCUACUUUCAAGCCACUACUGCGACGAAUCUGUUUGGCCCCAAGUUGUUUUUGCCUCCAAGGAAAUGCUUGGCAGAGAGCCCCGGCGAAACACUGGGAAUGUGGAAAAGUGAUACGGGUGCCCAGCAAAACAGGCUGCAGGAGGGUAUUUUAUGUGUCAGAGAGUGCAGGAACGUUCAGAUGCCCUGGGGAACACAAACAACACCUACACCGCCUGGAACAGCAAGGAGCGCCGCAUGGUGCGGUUCCAGCAUUACUCACCCCCAGGACUUGGGCUCUUCCCCACCCAGUUACAUAUGACCAGGAAAUUAUAGCCUGCACGGCUCCAGGCCUGGCUGAACGGUUGCCAUAUCGUAUGAUGCACAACAGCGGUGAGACUGAUGAAACAACAGAGCAAUGUGUUUUUACUGAAACUGAUGCUUCGCAGAACAGACAGGCUUGGCUGGGUCAGACUGCCAUUUGGUGCCUUGAAUGCAUGCUCCCUCUUGCACAACUUGCCAUUAAUUAAAAAUUCUGGAUAAAAAAUGAAAUUCUGAUCUUCUUUUAUGUUCGUUCCUCAUUACACUCCUUUUUCUUACAGCAGACUCCAUGGCCAGCCAUUGUGUGCCCCAGACACUAGUUUCCUCAUCUUUCUCAUUGUAUCCAUCCCUCUGUGCUUCCAUUUUUCUUCACGCUCAGCAUUCACAAGAUCUUUCCCCCACUGCCUUCCUAUCCGUGGCCUCUGCUUCUCACACCUUUAUAACAUACUCUUCCUAGGUCUGCUGCACACCUCUCUUCUCUGCAGGACACGGCCCAUGGACCUGCAAAGGUCAUCUCUGCAGCAUACUGUAUCACAUCAUUCCUCUCUUGAGUCUAUCCAACACUUUCUACUUAACAUUGGGUUUAAAGAACUUGUUAUAUCAAAGGUCACC
This 1066-nucleotide long non-coding RNA is filed under the name Coturnix japonica (Japanese quail). RNAcentral's name for it is "lncRNA (ENSCJPG00005019272.1)". The record is from RNAcentral. Lineage: Eukaryota; Metazoa; Chordata; Aves; Galliformes; Phasianidae.